UGGGCCAAUUCAAAUGGAAAUGGCAUACUAUAAAAGAGAGUAAGAUUUCCAUUUGCAUCCUCUGUCUCCUCCGCCUCUUACUUGAAAAUGUUCAUCACAGUAGCUUUGAGGAACAAAAUGUCCUCAAGUUGUGAAUUAUUUAUGCAUCUCCUGACCUCCUUCACUCUGAUAAUUCGAAGCUCGUAGCAGUAAGUCUUCCCUCCUCUCCAUUUAUGUGUUGUAAUGCCAAUCACUCUUCCUUCCUGACCUCGGCUUCCUUUGUAGUGGUAAACUUCGGUGGUGCAGUGGAUCUGAUGCCAAGUCCUGAGCUAUUGCUUGGAAAAUGUAAGCACAUCUCCAUACUUUUCCAUUUUUGCCUUACUCCACACUGAUUUGAGACGGACAUAGAGAUUCCAAGACAACCUCUCCG
This 409-nucleotide long non-coding RNA is filed under the name Solanum tuberosum (potato). RNAcentral describes it as "long non-coding RNA (STUB_LNC006692)". Lineage: Eukaryota; Viridiplantae; Streptophyta; Magnoliopsida; Solanales; Solanaceae. The record is from RNAcentral.